GGAAGUAAAAGUCGUAACAAGGUCUCCGUUGGUGAACCAGCGGAGGGAUCAUUACCGAGUUUACAACUCCCAAACCCAAUGUGAACGUUACCAAACUGUUGCCUCGGCGGGAUCUCUGCCCCGGGUGCGUCGCAGCCCCGGACCAAGGCGCCCGCCGGAGGACCAACCUAAAACUCUUAUUGUAUACCCCCUCGCGGGUUUUUUUAUAAUCUGAGCCUUCUCGGCGCCUCUCGUAGGCGUUUCGAAAAUGAAUCAAAACUUUCAACAACGGAUCUCUUGGUUCUGGCAUCGAUGAAGAACGCAGCGAAAUGCGAUAAGUAAUGUGAAUUGCAGAAUUCAGUGAAUCAUCGAAUCUUUGAACGCACAUUGCGCCCGCCAGUAUUCUGGCGGGCAUGCCUGUCCGAGCGUCAUUUCAACCCUCGAACCCCUCCGGGGGGUCGGCGUUGGGGAUCGGCCCUCCCUUAGCGGGUGGCCGUCUCCGAAAUACAGUGGCGGUCUCGCCGCAGCCUCUCCUGCGCAGUAGUUUGCACACUCGCAUCGGGAGCGCGGCGCGUCCACAGCCGUUAAACACCCAACUUCUGAAAUGUUGACCUCGGAUCAGGUAGGAAUACCCGCUGAACUUAAGCAUAUCAAUAAGCGGAGG
RNAcentral lists this ribosomal RNA (643 nucleotides) under fungal sp. ARIZ B408. Its description in RNAcentral is "eukaryotic LSU rRNA". The stretch from base 257 to 410 matches the Rfam family "5.8S ribosomal RNA". RNAcentral also lists the same sequence under 1 other name. Lineage: Eukaryota; Fungi. The record is from RNAcentral.